RNAcentral lists this ribosomal RNA (432 nucleotides) under uncultured bacterium. Its description in RNAcentral is "partial 16S ribosomal RNA". It matches the Rfam family "Bacterial small subunit ribosomal RNA", at positions 29 to 506 of the family's 1533-position model. The record is from RNAcentral.
AACGAACGCUGGCGGCAUGCCUAACACAUGCAAGUCGAACGAGACCUUCGGGUCUAGUGGCGCACGGGUGCGUAGCGCGUGGGAACCUGCCCUUAGGUUCGGAAUAACUCCCCGAAAGGGGUGCUAAUACCGGAUAAUGUCUUCGGACCAAAGAUUUAUCGCCUUUGGAUGGGCCCGCGUUGGAUUAGCUAGUUGGUAGGGUAAAAGCCUACCAAGGCGACGAUCCAUAGCUGGUCUGAGAGGAUGAUCAGCCACACUGGGACUGAGACACGGCCCAGACUCCUACGGGAGGCAGCAGUGGGGAAUAUUGGACAAUGGGCGAAAGCCUGAUCCAGCAAUGCCGCGUGAGUGAUGAAGGCCUUAGGGUUGUAAAGCUCUUUUACCCGGGAUGAUAAUGACAGUACCGGGAGAAUAAGCUCCGGCUAACUCCGU